This is a long non-coding RNA of Hevea brasiliensis (rubber tree), 775 nucleotides long. RefSeq lists it as uncharacterized. The transcript is spliced from 2 exons. The record is from RefSeq and is a predicted model, not a curated record. NCBI's taxonomy places the organism in Eukaryota, Viridiplantae, Streptophyta, Magnoliopsida, Malpighiales, Euphorbiaceae.
CCCAAAAGGCCCAAUGUAAUUUUAAGAAAAAUAUUUUUAUUUUGGUAUGUUAGAUUUAAGAUACGAUUUUUAUUGUGUUCCAUUAAAAAAAAUGAGUUUUGUUAUAUUUCAUUAAAAAAAAUAUGAAUUUUAUUGCAAAUGUCAUUUGGCUAUUUAUUAAUAAAAAUGAUCUUUGAUCAAAAAAAUAUAUUAAUUAAGUGUUAAACCACUUAGGGUGCGUUUGUUUUAAAGGUAACGGGUUAAGAGUUAUUUUUGUAAUAUAUUACCUUUCAUUAACAGUGUUUGGUUUGUCAAGGUUAACAUUUAACCCGAUUAACCAUUCACCUCAAUUAAACGUAAUUCAUUAACUUAGGAGGGGGUGGGGUAAUGGCCUGAAACAUUAACGAGGUUAAAGCAACGUGAUUCAUUCUACAGGAAAAUCAUAUCUGCUAUUCACUCAUCAAGAAAAUCAUCUCGACUUCACUUACCCACCAAAUCAACAAUCAAUUUUUUUUAUCACUGAUCUAUCAAAAAAAGCACAUCAUCUUCACCUUCUCCUUACCAAUGACAAGGAAAUGAUGAAGAAAAUUACAUUGAUGUGAUAGAGCCUUCAAAUGAGUGGCAGAUAUGGAAAGAUAAUUUGGCGAAUGAAAUGUUUGAAAUUUGGAGAGCGCAAAGGGCUAUUAAUUAGUUUUGCAUGUUGUUGUAUUUGAUACUAUAUUCAAAUAACUACACUUGUUCAUGUGAUCCAUUUAAUGUUGUUUUUCAUUAAUGAAAUUAGACUAUAUUAUUUGAA